RNAcentral lists this transfer RNA (76 nucleotides) under Bacillota bacterium. RNAcentral describes it as "tRNA-Trp". It matches the Rfam family "tRNA". From Rfam's summary of the family: Transfer RNA (tRNA) molecules are approximately 80 nucleotides in length. Their secondary structure includes four short double-helical elements and three loops (D, anti-codon, and T loops). The record is from RNAcentral. RNAcentral also lists the same sequence under 2 other names. Lineage: Bacteria; Bacillati; Bacillota.
AGGGGUAUAGCUCAGCUGGUAGAGCGGCGGUCUCCAAAACCGUAGGUCGAGGGUUCGAUCCCUUCUGCCCCUGCCA